RNAcentral lists this transfer RNA (114 nucleotides) under Araneus ventricosus. It matches the Rfam family "tRNA". From Rfam's summary of the family: Transfer RNA (tRNA) molecules are approximately 80 nucleotides in length. The record is from Rfam by way of RNAcentral. Lineage: Eukaryota; Metazoa; Arthropoda; Arachnida; Araneae; Araneidae.
GUGAGGAUGGCCGAGCGGACUAAGGCGCCAGACUCAAGGACAACCUUCUCCUGCUGCAGGGCUGAGUGUUCUGGUCCACGAAUGUGGGCAUGGGUUUGAAUCCCACUUCUGACA